Molecule: long non-coding RNA, 2977 nt
Organism: Oncorhynchus tshawytscha (Chinook salmon)
Lineage: Eukaryota; Metazoa; Chordata; Actinopteri; Salmoniformes; Salmonidae
Exons: 3
Source: RefSeq, a predicted model, not a curated record
AAGAGCGACAUCAUUGAUGUAUACAGAGAAGAGAGUCGGCCCAAGAAUUGAACCCUGUGGCACCUCCAUAGAGACUGACAGUGGUCCGGAGAACAGACCCUCUGAUUUGACACACUGAACUCUAUCAGAGAAGUAGUUGGUGAACCAGGCGAGGCAAACAUUUGAGAAAUAUUGAUAUAGAUAGAACCCUCACAAAAACACAUGGAACAACUGCGAAAAGAAAUGGCUGAGGAUAUACAAAAAAAGUCUGAGUUCAACAAGGCCAACAACUGCUUCAUGUGUGCCACUGAUAAAGAACCUGGAUGAGGCCCAAAGACUGACUGGGAAUGAAGACAAGAGUUCAGAGUGAAGAACACAAACUGGAAGUGAUGUCUUUGUUGUUGAAAAUGUAUGCUAUACCCCAUCCACACUGAAGAGUCUCAGAAAUGUACAUCAACCAGGGAUAGAGAGACAGUUAACACCGAAAUGUUUUGUACUUAUUUGAAGUAAAGUGUCUGACAUAUUGUAGACUUUUAAUCUUUUCCAACUUCUGUUUAAUUUGUCAAUAUCCCAUUUUUCUUCAUUGAUUUUCUGGCCACCAUUACAUGUUCAAUAUUUGUAUUGACAAGCAAACACCACCUUACUCUCCAUCCCGGCUUUGGACAAUUAAUAAAACAUGACUCUCGUACUUUGCCCUUUAUGGUUGAUAUUAACGAUGAGAGACCGAUAAUAUCUCCUUUCUCCUAGUGUGUACCACUGUUAAAUAAAGUUUUUAAAAAAAGGAAAAAUAUGUACUUAGAACUACCAAUUAUUAUAGAUAAAUAUUAAAGAAAAGGGUUAACAACACUGGACUGAACCCCCUAAAUUGUCAAAGUAAUAUUAAUGUACAACAAUAUAGAAGAUACAUGACUAGAGGUUAUGUAAUAUGGGUGUAUAUCCACUGCAUGCUUAGGUGUGUAAUUGACAUGACCAAGGAGCUAUUGAAAUGUAAAACUAUGAAAAAUGUACGUUACACUGCGUGAUUUUACAGUACAAACAAGAGUGUGCAAUAUAUAAGGCUAGUCUGUGAACAUUCUGAAGUUUGUUUGAGUCCAGCAAGUCACAUGACCAAUGAGCUAUUGAAGUUUUAAAUUCUGAAAAAUGAAUGUAAAAUCGAGUGAUAUGAAAAUGGACAAACUAAAGGGUGUGCAAUACAUAAGGGUGGUCCGUGUACAUUCUGCACCUUGUUUGAAGCCAUAUGACCAAGGAGCUAUUGAAAUGAGAAAGUUUGAAAAAUUAAUGUAAAAACGUGAGAUGAACAUUAACAAACCAAAGGGUGUGAAAUAUAGAAGGGCAGUCAGUGGACAUUCUGAACCUUGUUUGAGUCAAGUAGGUCACAUGACCAAAGAGCUAUUGAAAUUCAAAUGUUAAAAAAGUUUGUACUUUGUUUACGCUCCAUAACUAAUUCAACUAGGAAUACAACAUGCAGCUCACAUUUCCACAUGUUUAUUAGCUUUGGAAAGUGAAUUAAUGUCCAAAUCGUGGCUUAUUUAGAGUCUGUGGCGCAAGCGGUUUGAAAGCGUGAAUAUCUGUAGAAUAUCCAACUUGAAACUGUCUAUCUCGGUUUGCAGUGAGGGGUUUAAGCAGGUGUGUAGUGCUAUGGCAAAAACGUGCACCCCUUUGGUCCCCAAGACCUGGAUUAACAAACAGAUAGAAUCCAUGGAUUCUAUGUAUGGGUGGUCUAUUUCUAUGAGAUUGUCUGUAGUAGCCUAGAGUCUCAGUAAAGGAAGGUUGAGAUGCUACCACGAUAUACAAGGGCUCUAAAAUACAUAGAUAUUAGGGUGGAAAACAAAUAUGGGGGCACCAUGUUGGUCAGAAAGAGAUAUAAACACAUUUUUUCCCAAAACACUGUUCUAAUCACAAUGGAGAGAAUUAUUAAUGCACUGAUAUGUAAAUUGUAAUGCUUGCAUGACCUCAGGAUACCAACAAAUUCAGUAAUUGUGAAGAACUUUGAUCUCAGUUCCAAACAAAAAGGAUGCACCCAAAGAUUAGUAUACCCUUUAAUCUGUGGCACCCCUCUGCAAUACAGGUAGUGUUUUUCAUGUUCAUAAGAUGGCAGCAUUGGGCUAGCUAGGCUUAAGCCUUUGAAGCAUUAAUAAUACAUUAAACUGGAUGGUGGAUCAGAAAACUUGGUGAUAAUAAUACACAAUAACCAAUGCGUGCACAAUGUUCAGAAGUGGACACAUAGUGGAUACACCUCAGUGAUUAUAACUGGCACCCAAGGGUCAUAACAGUGAUGAAUAGGAUUGAGGUAGGCAGUGCCACAACAACCAACCGCAGGAUCAAGCAACUUCUCGAAAAGUCCAUACUUCUUCAAUUUCAAAAACGGCAUGUUCCUUUUCCAUUUAAACCUGCUCAUGUUGCAUUUUCUGACCACAUUCUCUGGUAUUGCAAUGACCUUGUAUUGUGCUAUGGUAACCAUGUUUACAAAUAUUAAGUUCUGCUUUUCUGAUGUAUCAAAUACUUAUGUCAUGCAAAUGAAUUACUUAAUCAUACAAUGUGACUUUCUGGAUUUUUGUUUUAGAUUCAAUCUUUCACAGUUGACCUGUGUACCUAUUAUAAAAAUUACAGACCUCUACAUGCUUUAAGUAGGAAACACUGCCGAUUUUGCAGGUUAUCAAAUACUUGUUCUUCCCAUUGUAUAUAUUGACAAUGUUUUAACCAUUUCUAAGUCAAAGAAGAAAUCUAUUUUGAGCAAAGCAAGUUGUGGCUCCUUUUAGGUGAACACAUUCACUCAAAUGUGUUUAAGCAUUACAGGCAUCUUCUCUCAAAUGCCCUGACUGGCUGUGAUAGGUACGUUUAGAAUACAUGCCUUCUGAUUAUGCAAUAGACCAUGGUUAGUGGGGAGGAAGCAUUUCAGAUUUCAAAAGAAUGACUGUCCUAAAAAAAUAAAGACUACGGCAUCCCUGUAAACAACUAACUUGCCAUGUCCAAGCAUGAGACAGGUUGCUACUCAGAC